This is a long non-coding RNA of Eucalyptus grandis, 225 nucleotides long. RefSeq lists it as uncharacterized. The record is from RefSeq and is a predicted model, not a curated record. NCBI's taxonomy places the organism in Eukaryota, Viridiplantae, Streptophyta, Magnoliopsida, Myrtales, Myrtaceae. The transcript is spliced from 3 exons.
AGAUAGUAUUGAGGACCAUUGAGGUGGUGUGCUCUGAGAAUUCAGCAUCCGGCAAUGUAAUAUCCAAUGGCUUUAGUAAGGAUGACCAUUCUAGUGUUGUUGUUGAGCUUCUAACUUCUUCAGCCUGGUGCCUUCUCUUAGAAAGGGUUGGUGAUAGUGUAAUGAUGUACUUGCUCAAGUGUGCGUCAAUCUUUUUGCCAUAUCCUUGUAAGAAACUCUUUCGGG